Molecule: long non-coding RNA, 386 nt
Filed under: Erythranthe guttata (spotted monkey flower)
Lineage: Eukaryota; Viridiplantae; Streptophyta; Magnoliopsida; Lamiales; Phrymaceae
Description: long non-coding RNA (EGUT_LNC003931)
Source: RNAcentral
UUACUAGUUUUCAUGUCUCUGUACUCGAAAUCGUUAAAUGUUGGAAUAUUUUGAUGCUCGGUUUUUAUAAGCUUGAUCGAAAACUAAAAAAAAAGCACAGAAAAAUCGAGAAUCCCGCCGGAAUUUGGCGAGAAUCCCACCUGCGCACCGGAACUUUAGGGAAAGAAAACCUGCUGCCGCACCUGUUUUCGGAGCAGAAUUUGGAGGGUUUGGAGUGCGAAUUUGGGAAUCAUUCCUUGACGAAACCCGUAGAGGACCUCGAAAAAUAUUGGUAAGUGUAAAAUUGUAUCGAGUUAGAGUAUGUUUUGAAGCUGAUUAGAGGUCCGAAUUAAGUGACUGUAAAUCUGUAAAACAGGGCAGUUUUGAAUAUUCUUCUUACGAGGCCG